This 165-nucleotide ribosomal RNA is filed under the name Swainsona purpurea. RNAcentral describes it as "5.8S ribosomal RNA". It matches the Rfam family "5.8S ribosomal RNA". From Rfam's summary of the family: 5.8S ribosomal RNA (5.8S rRNA) is a component of the large subunit of the eukaryotic ribosome. It is transcribed by RNA polymerase I as part of the 45S precursor that also contains 18S and 28S rRNA. Functionally, it is thought that 5.8S rRNA may be involved in ribosome translocation. Lineage: Eukaryota; Viridiplantae; Streptophyta; Magnoliopsida; Fabales; Fabaceae. The record is from RNAcentral.
GAAUGACUCUCGGCAACGGAUAUCUAGGCUCUUGCAUCGAUGAAGAACGUAGCGAAAUGCGAUACUUGGUGUGAAUUGCAGAAUCCCGUGAACCAUCGAGUCUUUGAACGCAAGUUGCGCCCGANGCCAUUCGGUUGAGGGCACGUCUGCCUGGGCGUCACAUAU